RNAcentral lists this ribosomal RNA (492 nucleotides) under uncultured bacterium. Its description in RNAcentral is "partial 16S ribosomal RNA". It matches the Rfam family "Bacterial small subunit ribosomal RNA", at positions 29 to 507 of the family's 1533-position model. The record is from RNAcentral.
AGUGAACGCUGGCGGUAGGCCUAACACAUGCAAGUCGAACGGCAGCACAGUAAGAGCUUGCUCUUACGGGUGGCGAGUGGCGGACGGGUGAGGAAUACAUCGGAAUCUACUUUUUCGUGGGGGAUAACGUAGGGAAACUUACGCUAAUACCGCAUACGACCUACGGGUGAAAGCAGGGGAUCUUCGGACCUUGCGCGAUUGAAUGAGCCGAUGUCGGAUUAGCUAGUUGGCGGGGUAGAGGCCCACCAAGGCGACGAUCCGUAGCUGGUCUGAGAGGAUGAUCGGCCACACUGGAACUGAGACACGGUCCAGACUCCUACGGGAGGGAGCAGUGGGGAAUAUUGGACAAUGGGCGCAAGCCUGAUCCAGCCAUAGCGCGUGGGUGAAGAAGGCCUUCGGGUUGUAAAGCCCUUUUGUUGGGAAAGAAAAGCAGCAGGUUAAUACCCCGCUGUUCUGACGGUACCCAAAGAAUAAGCACCGGCUAACUUCGUG